GGGGUUAUAGCUCAGUUGGGAGAGCGCUUGCAUGGCAUGCAAGAGGUCAUCGGUUCGAUCCCGAUUAGCUCCACCA
Molecule: transfer RNA, 76 nt
Filed under: Anaerobiospirillum succiniciproducens
Lineage: Bacteria; Pseudomonadati; Pseudomonadota; Gammaproteobacteria; Aeromonadales; Succinivibrionaceae
Also listed under: 6 other names
Description: tRNA-Ala
Rfam family: tRNA
About the family: Transfer RNA (tRNA) molecules are approximately 80 nucleotides in length. Their secondary structure includes four short double-helical elements and three loops (D, anti-codon, and T loops). Further hydrogen bonds mediate the characteristic L-shaped molecular structure. tRNAs have two regions of fundamental functional importance: the anti-codon, which is responsible for specific mRNA codon recognition, and the 3' end, to which the tRNAs corresponding amino acid is attached (by aminoacyl-tRNA synthetases). tRNAs cope with the degeneracy of the genetic code in two manners: having more than one tRNA (with a specific anti-codon) for a particular amino acid; and 'wobble' base-pairing, i.e. permitting non-standard base-pairing at the 3rd anti-codon position.
Source: RNAcentral